Molecule: long non-coding RNA, 386 nt
Filed under: Ananas comosus (pineapple)
Lineage: Eukaryota; Viridiplantae; Streptophyta; Magnoliopsida; Poales; Bromeliaceae
Description: long non-coding RNA (ACOM_LNC014280)
Source: RNAcentral
UAUUUUCAUAAAAAGCUAAUAUUAAAAAUACCAUUUAAGGUUCCAAUGUCUUUCAAAGUCAAAUUCUGUUAAUGAACUAUUUGGAACAGCCGUUAUCUCUGUAAGGUUAUCAUUUUGUUUUUUCAAAUAUACCAUUUUACCGUCACCAACUUUUCUUAUUUGUUGUUAAGCUGGGGACAAAAAAAAUAUUUUCUCUACCCUUCUACCGCUAUUAAUUUUUUUCAUUUGUCCUUAACUUUGAGGCAAAAUAGAUAUUUUAAUUAUGUUUAAUUAUGGUAAAAAUUAAACUCGGGCUUAAUCCUAGAUAACUUAUUGGAUCCUAGCAGCACGGAUAUUUUUGAAUAACGAAAAUAUAUGGGGGUAUAUUUCAAACAAAAAAAUGAAAU